This 450-nucleotide ribosomal RNA is filed under the name uncultured bacterium. Its description in RNAcentral is "bacterial SSU rRNA". It matches the Rfam family "Bacterial small subunit ribosomal RNA", at positions 354 to 796 of the family's 1533-position model. The record is from RNAcentral.
GUGGGGAAUUUUGGACAAUGGGCGCAAGCCUGAUCCAGCAAUGCCGCGUGCAGGAAGAAGGCCUUCGGGUUGUAAACUGCUUUUGUCAGGGAAGAAAUCUUCUGGGCUAAUACCCCGGGAGGAUGACGGUACCUGAAGAAUAAGCACCGGCUAACUACGUGCCAGCAGCCGCGGUAAUACGUAGGGUGCGAGCGUUAAUCGGAAUUACUGGGCGUAAAGCGUGCGCAGGCGGCUUUGCAAGACAGAUGUGAAAUCCCCGGGCUCAACCUGGGAACUGCAUGUGUGACUGCAAGGCUAGAGUACGGCAGAGGGGGAUGGAAUUCCGCGUGUAGCAGUGAAAUGCGUAGAUAUGCGGAGGAACACCAAUGGCGAAGGCAAUCCCCUGGGCCUGCACUGACGCUCAUGCACGAAAGCGUGGGGAGCAAACAGGAUUAGAUACCCGAGUAGUCC